Molecule: transfer RNA, 58 nt
Filed under: Nitrospirae bacterium CG_4_9_14_0_8_um_filter_70_14
Lineage: Bacteria; Pseudomonadati; Nitrospirota
Description: tRNA-Asn
Rfam family: tRNA
About the family: Transfer RNA (tRNA) molecules are approximately 80 nucleotides in length. Their secondary structure includes four short double-helical elements and three loops (D, anti-codon, and T loops).
Source: RNAcentral
UAGCUCAGCUGGUAGAGCAGCGGACUGUUAAUCCGCUUGUCGCAGGUUCGAGUCCUGC